UACAGAGGUCCCAAGCGUUGUUCGGAUUCAUUGGGCGUAAAGGGUGCGUAGGCGGCGCGGUAAGUCGGGUGUGAAAUCUCGGAGCUUAACUCCGAAACUGCAUUCGAUACUGCCGUGCUUGAGGACUGGAGAGGAGACUGGAAUUUACGGUGUAGCGGUGAAAUGCGUAGAUAUCGUAAGGAAGACCAGUGGCGAAGGCGGGUCUCUGGACAGUUCCUGACGCUGAGGCUCGAAGGCUAGGGUAGCGAAAGGG
This 253-nucleotide ribosomal RNA is filed under the name uncultured bacterium. RNAcentral describes it as "partial 16S ribosomal RNA". It matches the Rfam family "Bacterial small subunit ribosomal RNA", at positions 524 to 776 of the family's 1533-position model. The record is from RNAcentral.